This 74-nucleotide transfer RNA is filed under the name Chloroflexota bacterium. RNAcentral describes it as "Chloroflexi bacterium (marine sediment metagenome) tRNA-Pro". It matches the Rfam family "tRNA". Rfam says of the family: Transfer RNA (tRNA) molecules are approximately 80 nucleotides in length. The record is from RNAcentral. Lineage: Bacteria; Bacillati; Chloroflexota. RNAcentral also lists the same sequence under 1 other name.
CGGGAUGUGGCGCAGACCGGUAGCGCGCUUCGUUCGGGACGAAGAGGUCGUGGGUUCGAAUCCCGCCAUCCCGA